CUUGGCAUAAACUCACUGAGGGCAGAUUAACCCUUGUGUACUGCUCAAAUUGACUACCCUUUCAUUAUGUUGGUGGCUGUUUUUGCCCCAUUGACUUCUAUUAUAAUGACAUUUUUUGAUUGCAAAGUCCCAGAGUGGAUGAAAACAUCCUCAACAGCACACAAAUGUGAGAGCCUCUCCAGAGCAUGAUCGCAAGACAGCCUUGAUCUGGACCGAACACAAACAACACACACAAACGCAUCUACGUUGACAGAUGAUGAACCACGCCGAAAAAAGCGCACAGCAGCAGAAGCGGCAGAGCAGCAGACAGGAGAGAAUUUACACACAGCCAUGGGGGUCAGAGGUCAAAGACACGGAGACAGGAGCCCACAACUCCACACGCAUGCCAUCUCGCAUCACUCUGAGGAAUAAGGGGGUUCUACCUGGAACGGCGUCCCGCACGGAGGGGCCGAGGCGUCUGGUGCGUGUCUUUGGGGUGUUCCCACUGGAGACGGGACUCCUGAUGUGGACGCAGAGCGACCGAGUUUACAACCGGCUUUUGGUUCUAUAAAGUGUUGGGUUGCAGCUGGAAAGGCAUCCGCUGCAUAAUACAUAUGAUGGAUAAGUUGGCGGUUCAAUUCGCUGUGGCGACCCCAGGUUAAUAAAG
RNAcentral lists this long non-coding RNA (646 nucleotides) under Danio rerio (zebrafish). RNAcentral's name for it is "si:dkeyp-51h1.3 (ENSDARG00000097386.2)". The record is from RNAcentral. Lineage: Eukaryota; Metazoa; Chordata; Actinopteri; Cypriniformes; Danionidae.